This is a non-coding RNA of Camelina sativa (false flax), 2521 nucleotides long. The record is from RefSeq and is a predicted model, not a curated record. Lineage: Eukaryota; Viridiplantae; Streptophyta; Magnoliopsida; Brassicales; Brassicaceae.
GGGGUAGGUGUUAUGAGAGCUACAGCGAGGAUCACAAAUUUGUGGAAGACAUGACAGACGUCAUACUUGGUUCACAAAGAGAGCCUCCUUCCAACUAUAAGCAUGGCGUUCCAUUUGUUGGUGGCAGGGAUAAAAUUGCAGUAUGUGCCAAGCAUUACAUGGGAGAUGGUGGGACAACCCCGAGGAAAAAAUGAGAAUAACGCGGUGACUUCUUUACAUGGUCUUCUUAGUGUUCGCAUGUCUGCUUAUGCUGAUGCAGUUUACAAAGGUGUUUCCAUAGUGAUGGUUUCAUAUUCAAGCUGGAACAAUGCAAAUACUGAGCUUAUCACAGGUAAUUUGAUUCUAAUUGUCUUGACACUAGUCCUAAUAACUAUAAUUGUCUUGAGACAGGUUCAAAAUGCUAUAUUGGAUUCCUGAAAAUGAUCGGAGCACUGGUUGAGAAGGAAAAUCUAACGGAUCUUGGGAAGCUCAUUGAUUAUCCCCGUUGAUCCCAAGCUGGGGAAAAUGCUGAUAAUGGGUGCCAUCUUCCGCUGCUUUGACCCGAUCCUGACAAUUUGUAUGUAUUAUAAGGACUCAGUGUCAGAGAUCCUUUCCUUCCACCUCAAGACGAAAAGAAUGCAAGUACAAGGACUCAUGAUUCAUUUUUAUGAGUUAUGUUGGAGGAUCGUCUAUAAAGCUCUCCGGUGAUGAAUCCGUUCAGGAUCGUCUCUCGUCGACUCCUACUCUCGAACUCGCCUCUUCUCUUCUCCUCGAUUCCACUAAACGAUGCUUCUGGACACGAGCUGCUGUUCACAAUGACUAGGGUCAAAAUACAAAUCAGAGUCCCCCCGACUCAACACGACGACCUUCCUUUUCUUCGUUCGCUUCAAGUUCCGGUCGACAGACAACAUAAUGGUUCACUUCCUUCACAUAAUUGGGGAUGAUGCACACUACAUAUGACGCAGCAACAACAACGAUGGAAUGGAAUUAGUAUCAUUUUCUUGAUCUCUAUGUGGAGGUUAUUGAAUAUGAUGCAGCUUCUGGAAAGUUUUUCAUGAAACCGUGGACAACUCACUUAUGCCCUGCCCUGUGGAAAAACCAGUUGGGGAUGUCACAUGUCAAAAGGUGAAACUUUCUGUCUCCAAUCUCCACACACAAAAUGGUUCACUUUCUCUAUAGAAUCCGGAAUGAUGCACUAUAUGACGCUUCAACAACAACGAUGGUAUGGAAAUUAAUAUGGAGUUGUUGAAUAUGCAGCUUCUGGAAAGUUAUCAUAAAACAGCGGACAACAGUUAUCCCCUGCCCUGUGGAUCAUCCCAAAACCAGUUGGAGAUGUCACAUGUCCUCCAAUAGGUGAAACCUCUUUUGUCUCCAAUCUCCAUCUGAAACUAAUGAACCUGCACUCCUUUGUGAAUGAGAGGAUUACUGUCUAAAGCGGCUUAACCCCAACACCCAGACAACCAGGUCUCUGUGUGUCGAAGGAGGUUUCCUUCAACAUUGGCGAAUCUAUAGAGAAUGGAGAUAUUGAUUCAGGAUGCCAACGCAAAGGUGACAACAAAUAUAAUAUCAGACUUCUCCAUUUGAUAGCUAAUAGGCGCAUUGGGUCAAGCUACCACAACGUUGCAGCAGCUUCCUCCCUUUAACAAGGAUACUUUAGCCGGUGGUCGCAGAAAUCCCCUGAGUGGAUCCUUUGAAAGAUUCUUCGUAACAGAUUUCAUACAUGUUUUACUAGGAGAGCCUCCUUCCAACUAAAAGCAUGGUGUUCCUUUCGUUGGUGGCAGCUAAAGAGAAUUUGUGUCUGUAGUCCCCGAUAUAUUGAGCUAGUCCCAAAAGAGAAAAAUUGGUGGAGCUUUGGGGACAAGAGUGAUCCCUUCAAUUCUGGUGUCAUAACUUACAUAUGUCAAAAGGAAGGUAGGAGCUUGUUCGUAUGUUGAUGAUCCAGCUGGGUGUCAGUCACUGCUUUCACGAGCAAUACAUAAGGUGUUGGUUUAAGAACUCUGGGGGAUUCUAAUAUGCUUGCUAAUAGUCAUAGAGAACUGGAUUCUGAUAGUGUCAAUCACUUGGUCAGCACUUUCUCAUCGGAUCCAAGCCUAAUAGCCUUUGCACAGUUGUGCUGUGACACAUUUGGGUGGGUACACAUUUGGUAAAAUUAAUCUCAGAACCGUGGACAAGACACUCAUUAUGCCCUCCUGCCUUGUGGAUCAUGCCAAAACCAGUUGGAGAUGUUACAUGUCCUCCAAAAGGAAAGAAGCUGCUUGCAGAGCCAAACUCAAAGGCUAAGGCCCGUGAUUAGAGUUCCUUGUACUCAGAGCUGAAGUCAACGGUGCUCUUCUCCAUCGAGACAUGUAUGUAUGAAGCCAGAACUUAGGAGAGAUUGUGUCUGCUACAUGUCGUUUUUCACACCUUCUUGCUUCCUCUAGUUAUAUAGAAAAAGAGAUAUAAUUUUUAAAAAAUGUAAAAAUAAUAUGAUAUUGUAUACAUAAAAUACAUAUACCAUGUAUACAUCUACGUUUAAGUUUUAAAAAUGGCAUUCAUGAGACCA